Molecule: long non-coding RNA, 584 nt
Filed under: Sarcophilus harrisii (Tasmanian devil)
Lineage: Eukaryota; Metazoa; Chordata; Mammalia; Dasyuromorphia; Dasyuridae
Description: lncRNA (ENSSHAG00000029519.1)
Source: RNAcentral
CGUAUUUUACCAUACAGAUCUCCACGGCCCAGACUGAGGACCUCUGCUCCAGCCCACCAUCUAUCUUCCUUUCAGAGAUCAGACUGGGAUGACAGCAGCCUUAACAGCCACCUUCAGUAACUCCUUUAAAAGGGAAGUCCCACCUGCAGUCCUGGAGAAGCCAAGUUUGGAAGCUGGGAAAUAAGAAACUGAGAAGCAGAGAUCCCCGUGACCUCGGAGGCCCCAGGAGCCAAACCUGAGAUAUAUCCCUGUCCAUCACCUACUGAGCAAGUUAGAGAACAAAGAAUUUUUAAAGGAGAAAAAAUAUUAGAGUAAGACAUCAAUCAAGUUUGAUGGCUUUCUCGGGAAACUGAGGGAGAGGUCCAUGCUGGUCUGGGCUCACCAGGAAGGAAAUGAGAGAGACAGAAUUGGGACUCAGUUCUUCCUGACUCUAAGCUCGGCAAUAAUCUAUCUCCAUGAAGGGAUUGGACCAAAUGAUCCCAAAGGUCUUUCUGGUUCUGAUGUGAUGGAAGGUCUCCAAAUGUGCUCAUUAGCUUUUGAAGUGGAUGGGGAAGUCUUGUUAUUAGACAAUAGGUCUUAGUUAG